CAUUACCCUGCUAAAUACUGGGUCUGGAUUUAAAACACACACACACACACACACACACACACACACACACACACAAAGUAAGCAAGAGGCAAGGUUUCGGCAGAGUAAAUUGUCAUGUGUGAGACUGUGAUUAAGAUGUUUGCCAGCACACUCAGCCUCAAUGACACUUCAAGUGAUUUUCCACCAGCAUUCAUCCAUCACUGAGAAAAGCAUUCCAGGAAGGAAGCACUUGAAUGGAGUUCAUGUCCGUGGCAGACUGUAGCAGAUGAUGGCUUCAUAGACUCUUGUGUCUUCCCAGGACUCUCUUGUAAAGUGAAUUUCUCUUCCUACUGAACACAGUGGAAUGUCUGACUUGAACCUAACCUGCCAAAGCAAAAAAGAGUAUAUGUGGAACUGAAUAAAGUUAUGGUCUCUAAGAGCCACCAGGGACCCAGAGGUAGUGCGUCCUUUGAGGAGAGCUGGAUGCCUGUCAUGUACUUCAGAGCAGGCUGGGAAGCACCCAGGGUGUCUUUUUCUUAUUAUGGACAUGGUUUUCCUCACUCUGGUUCUACAAGUAGAUGCCACAAUAAAACUGCCUCUGGACACUUCACACUCAAGCUGACGUGACCCUCUAACCACAGAAUUACCAAGUCAAAUGGACUGUGGCCCGCUUUGUAAAGCCUUCCACCUCCAUAAUUCAAUCAAAGAUAUCAGUAAAUGGAGUGAAAGUCUGCUCAUGGGAAAGAGCAACAGAAAUGUGGG
Mus musculus (house mouse) is the source of this 741-nucleotide long non-coding RNA. RefSeq annotates it as predicted gene, 30709. The record is from RefSeq and is a predicted model, not a curated record. The transcript is spliced from 3 exons. NCBI's taxonomy places the organism in Eukaryota, Metazoa, Chordata, Mammalia, Rodentia, Muridae.